This 158-nucleotide ribosomal RNA is filed under the name Lipkea ruspoliana. RNAcentral describes it as "5.8S ribosomal RNA". It matches the Rfam family "5.8S ribosomal RNA". From Rfam's summary of the family: 5.8S ribosomal RNA (5.8S rRNA) is a component of the large subunit of the eukaryotic ribosome. The record is from RNAcentral. Lineage: Eukaryota; Metazoa; Cnidaria; Staurozoa; Stauromedusae; Lipkeidae.
CAACUUUUAACGGUGGAUCUCUUGGCUCGUGCAUCGAUGAAGAACGCAGCCAGGUGCGAUAAGUAGUGCGAAUUGCAGAAUUCAGUGAAUCAUCGAAUCUUUGAACGCAAAUGGCGCUCCUUGGCUCUCCAGGGAGCAUGUCUGUCUGAGGGUCGAUU